GGUGUUAUAGUAUAGUGGUCAGUACAUCACGUUGUGGAGUUGGUUCAACUUCAGCCACGUGCAAUACCGUGAAGACCCCGGUUCGAUUCCGGGUAACGCCA
This 101-nucleotide transfer RNA is filed under the name Pestalotiopsis fici W106-1. It matches the Rfam family "tRNA". From Rfam's summary of the family: Transfer RNA (tRNA) molecules are approximately 80 nucleotides in length. Their secondary structure includes four short double-helical elements and three loops (D, anti-codon, and T loops). The record is from Rfam by way of RNAcentral. Lineage: Eukaryota; Fungi; Ascomycota; Sordariomycetes; Amphisphaeriales; Sporocadaceae.